Molecule: long non-coding RNA, 714 nt
Filed under: Brassica napus (rape)
Lineage: Eukaryota; Viridiplantae; Streptophyta; Magnoliopsida; Brassicales; Brassicaceae
Description: long non-coding RNA (BNAP_LNC021893)
Source: RNAcentral
AACUGUUCAGAAAGGUAAAGAUGGGGAAAAUUUUAAAUUAGCCCACGCGAAACAUAAGCGCAAUGCAAAAAAAGAAGAAGAAAAAACAAUGUCAACUGGAGAGAUUACUUGGCCUGGUUGACCAUCUCUCUUAGCACUUGAUUCCCCGCCUUUUCCUGAUCCCUUGUUGUCACCCUAUCAAAAUGGCAGAAACAAUCCUAAUGAGACACAAUCAUACAACAAUAUGCCCCAGCCACAGAUAUAACCGGACCCUCGGAUUAUGAAAAAUAAAAGAAGAUUAUUAAAAAUAUUCAGAGCAUCAGAAAGGGCGUAGAGAAAUACUUGGGAUUGAUCGAGCGGUAAGUGAUAAAAUGAGAACCACUGACCUCCAUCUGCAAGAGUCCAAUCCAUAUAGCAUAGAAAGAAAGAAAGAAAAACAUAGAGUUAGUGAGUUAUCGUUGGUUCAACAUAACUAGGAAACUGAAUAAGCUGAAGUGGAACAUACCUCUCUGUAUCUCGUCAGGUAAAACUUGAGAGGUUCAACGUACUCUUCAAAUCCUAAAGUGGUCAUAGCCCAAAGCAAAUCAUCUCCGUUGAUAGUCUUCCUCUUCUCUCUUUGGCACUUAUCACUCGCUCUGCUCGUCAAAAUAUACACAACCUCAUGACAUAGUGAACUCAUAAGAACGAAAGGAACAAAAUUUAAGGAAUAUAAAACAGCAUAUUCCAUCAAUCUCC